Molecule: ribosomal RNA, 253 nt
Filed under: uncultured bacterium
Lineage: Bacteria
Description: partial 16S ribosomal RNA
Rfam family: Bacterial small subunit ribosomal RNA
Source: RNAcentral
GACAGAGGGUGCAAACGUUGCUCGGAAUUACUGGGCGUAAAGCGCGUGUAGGUGGAUUGGUGUGUCAGAUGUGAAAUCCCUGGGCUCAACCCAGGAACUGCACCUGAAACUACCAGUCUUGAGUGGUGGAGAGGGAAGUGGAAUUCCUGGUGUAGAGGUGAAAUUCGUAGAUAUCAGGAGGAACACCAGUGGCGAAGGCGGCUUCCUGGACACCAACUGACGCCGAGACGCGAAAGCGUGGGGAGCAAACAGG